Molecule: non-coding RNA, 77 nt
Organism: Podarcis lilfordi (Lilford's wall lizard)
Lineage: Eukaryota; Metazoa; Chordata; Lepidosauria; Squamata; Lacertidae
Source: the annotation of a GenBank genome assembly
UGUAGGGUAGCUCAGUCGGUAGAGCAUGUGACUCUUAAUCUUAGGGUUGUGGGUUGGAGCUGCACGUUGGACGACAA